This 373-nucleotide long non-coding RNA is filed under the name Manihot esculenta (cassava). Its description in RNAcentral is "long non-coding RNA (MESC_LNC012431)". The record is from RNAcentral. Lineage: Eukaryota; Viridiplantae; Streptophyta; Magnoliopsida; Malpighiales; Euphorbiaceae.
AGAUGUGCUUCACAAGCCUCAGCUACAAACGCCUUCAAUUCAGAGGAAUCUUUGUAGUCCUGAAGGUGAACCUCACAGGCCUGAUCGAUCUUCCUCUUCAGUUCAUCAGACUCCUCAUACUCCGCUAUACAUUGCUCACGCUCUAGCUGAGCCCUGUCCUCAACAUGUUUUACUACCUUGAGCAAGGCUGAACACUUACGUUCCAAGGUCCUGACUUCAUGGUUGAGCUGUUGGUGGCGAAGGUUAAACUCUUCAGCCGACGAAGCCAGGUCCCUGAUACGAUCAGAGCUCGUACUCAACUCCUGCUCAAGGACCUCCACCCGAGCUAGGGCCCCUUCCUUCUGAGCUUUCACCUCCUCCAGGUGAACCUNNN